AUUGAACGCUGGCGGCAUGCCUUACACAUGCAAGUCGAACGGCAGCACGGGUGCUUGCACCUGGUGGCGAGAGGCGAACGGGUGAGUAAUACAUCGGAACAUGUCCUGUAGUGGGGGAUAGCCCGGCGAAAGCCGGAUUAAUACCGCAUACGAUCUACGGAUGAAAGCGGGGGACCUUCGGGCCUCGCGCUAUAGGGUUGGCCGAUGGCUGAUUAGCUAGUUGGUGGGGUAAAGGCCUACCAAGGCGACGAUCAGUAGCUGGUCUGAGAGGACGACCAGCCACACUGGGACUGAGACACGGCCCAGACUCCUACGGGAGGCAGCAGUGGGGAAUUUUGGACAAUGGGCGAAAGCCUGAUCCAGCAAUGCCGCGUGUGUGAAGAAGGCCUUCGGGUUGUAAAGCACUUUUGUCCGGAAAGAAAUCCUUGGCUCUAAUACAGUCGGGGGAUGACGGUACCGGAAGAAUAAGCACCGGCUAACUACGUG
This 486-nucleotide ribosomal RNA is filed under the name uncultured bacterium. RNAcentral describes it as "partial 16S ribosomal RNA". It matches the Rfam family "Bacterial small subunit ribosomal RNA", at positions 30 to 507 of the family's 1533-position model. The record is from RNAcentral.